RNAcentral lists this microRNA precursor (110 nucleotides) under Gallus gallus (chicken). RNAcentral describes it as "microRNA gga-mir-6612 precursor". The record is from miRBase by way of RNAcentral. Lineage: Eukaryota; Metazoa; Chordata; Aves; Galliformes; Phasianidae.
AUGUUGGUGCAUACACAUCACCACAGGGCACCACCAUGCUGUGUGUGCGUUCGUAUCACCAUGAGGUGUCACUGUGUUGGUGCAUACAUACAAUCCUGAUGGGGCGCCAC